This 253-nucleotide ribosomal RNA is filed under the name uncultured bacterium. Its description in RNAcentral is "partial 16S ribosomal RNA". It matches the Rfam family "Bacterial small subunit ribosomal RNA", at positions 524 to 776 of the family's 1533-position model. The record is from RNAcentral.
UACGGGGGGGGCAAGCGUUGUUCGGAAUUACUGGGCGUAAAGGGCUCGUAGGUGGCCAACUAAGUCAGACGUGAAAUCCCUCGGCUUAACCGGGGAACUGCGUCUGAUACUGGAUGGCUUGAGGUUGGGAGAGGGAUGCGGAAUUCCAGGUGUAGCGGUGAAAUGCGCAGAUAUCAGGAGGAACACCGGUGGCGAAGGCGGUUCUCUGGGCAUGAUCUGACGCUGAGGAGCGAAAGUGUGGGGAGCGAACAGG